CUAGUAAUGGCAGGUCAGCAUACUGCCGUGAAUACGUUCCCGGGCCUUGUACACACCGCCCGUCACACCAUGAGAGUUGGGAAUACCCGAAGCCUGUGAGCUAACUUUAGAGGCAGCAGUCGAAGGUAGAAUCAAUGAUUGGGGUGAAGUCGUAACAAGGUAUC
RNAcentral lists this ribosomal RNA (164 nucleotides) under uncultured bacterium. RNAcentral describes it as "partial 16S ribosomal RNA". It matches the Rfam family "Bacterial small subunit ribosomal RNA", at positions 1335 to 1500 of the family's 1533-position model. The record is from RNAcentral.